This is a long non-coding RNA of Pelobates fuscus (common spadefoot toad), 781 nucleotides long. RefSeq lists it as uncharacterized. Lineage: Eukaryota; Metazoa; Chordata; Amphibia; Anura; Pelobatidae. The record is from RefSeq and is a predicted model, not a curated record. The transcript has 4 exons.
CAAGCUGAUAGGAUGCUCUGCAGCAAUGCUGUGGAUAAAUCCAGGGACCUCUGGACAUAUUUAUGAGAUGCCUUGAUUUUAACUCACCUUUGUAGUGAUUGGUGACAUUUCCUUUGAAUCUGGGUUGUCACUGGAAUAAGUGACAUUGCAAAUAUUUUUGACAUUCAUUAUUCCAGAUGAACUUUUCUGCAAAUGAAAGACAACAGUUUUCUCCUUAGCGGCAGAGAUUUAGUCCAAGAACAUCCUGUCUGUGAGUGUCUGACUGGCUCCACAAUAAUGCAGAAUUACAGGAGUAAGAUGGCCGAGUAAAACCUGAGUCUCACCUUGGAGAUCAUCUGCCUGCUGACUAGAUAGGAUUAUAUGAUUGUGAAGAAGUAUGGUGAGCAUGUCACACACAACAGUCCCAAUAUUUUACAAGGAUCCUGCAGGACCCAGAGUCCCAACACGGUGCCUCCAUCUUCCUCACUGAUACAUGAGAGGAACAAUGAAAAGAAGAUCCUGGAACUGACCAAUUAGAUCAUCCAGCUGCUGACUGGAGAGGUUCCUAUAAGGUGUGAGGAUGUCACUGUCCAUCUCUCCAUGGAGGAGUGGGAGUAUCUAGAAGAACACCUAGAUCAUUACAAGGACGUGAUAGAUUUAUCAAUGGACAGAGAUACACACAAGAGAUCUCAAACUUGCGUUUCUUCACCAGGUCUAGUUACCAAAAAAAGCCAAAGAUUCAGAUGAUCUGCAAGAAAUAUAUCUGAGAAAAUGGUAUGAAGAAACCGUCUCUAGUGAACAA